Long non-coding RNA from Neofelis nebulosa (Clouded leopard), 1136 nucleotides. RefSeq lists it as uncharacterized. The record is from RefSeq and is a predicted model, not a curated record. Lineage: Eukaryota; Metazoa; Chordata; Mammalia; Carnivora; Felidae. The transcript is spliced from 3 exons.
GGGAGGGGAGGGGAGAGUUUUGUUCAUGUCUGAGCAGCUUGGACUUAGUGGUGUGGGGACCUGGCCAGUGUGCCUGGCACUGUUCUCCCCUGGGCCCAUCUGCCUGCACUGUGCCCACUCAGUUGAGGGGAGCAGCCUGCCCUCCCCGGAGCUCCCCAGGGCAGAUGGGUUUGCUCAGGGAUAAGGCGCACCCUGUCAUCAAACUCAGAGGUCAGGCCACCCGCACACAUGAACUCCUAUAACGUGCCGCCGUGUCGCAGACAUGAUGCCCUUCCUCCGUUGCCUCCUUUUCCCUCCUUUUCUGCCGAAGUGCACAGAACGGGAGCGGCUUCGUGCGUUCUAGCAGCAAACUGCCUGGGAUGGACUCCCGGCUGGGCCACGCACCUGCCCGUGCUGUGUGCUGGGAAGUAGACACUGACGGUCGGAGCCGCAUCGAAGUGUGGAGAGGCUGGAACCGGAGAGGACACGUGACGCGCUCAGACCAGGGCUGCGAAAACAGCGACCAUUCGUCACACAACAGCUGCUUCCUUAUUUUGGUCACCUAACCCGGGGAGUGACCUUGAUUCCAAAGCCCGUGUUCUUGACUGCUUCACCAUGAACGCUACUGAACUUGGCUGUGAGCUUGGGCCUUCCGGAUCCUAUGUUCCGGAGGACAGAAACGAAGCCCAGGGGGGCAAGGUCACACAGCUACUGAGGGGUGCAGCCGGACUCCCACCAUGUUGCCUUGACCCCCAAUUCCAAAUCCUUCCCCCCAGGGCCCUCUGCCUCACUUAAUCAGCUUUACUGAUCCUUCUGUGCCUGGCCCUGGGCUGACCACGUGGCAUCUAGAAAUGACGGGCCGCGCCCCCUGCCUCGUCCCGCGGAGACCGCGAUGAUGACGUCACCAUGGGAUACUGCGGGAAGGCCCUGGUUCUGCGUGGAUGGGGACCGGGUGGAAGGGGAGUGUCUUCUCCCUCAGAUGCUCCGCUCCAGCCACAGCGCCAGGAUCUCCGAGCUCUUGAGGGCCUCUGCGGAGGUUUAAGGUCCGGGGAGAGUCAUGCGGUUAAAAUACGAACAGGAAAUUGCGCCACUGAAAUUGAUACGUACUGGGGAGUCUGGGUGGCUCAGUCGGUUGAGCGUCCGACUCUGGAUGUCGG